GCCUUGCCCCGCGCAAGCACACAAAAAAGCCUUGCCCCAGGCAAGCACUCAAAGAAGCCUUGCCCCAGGCAAGCACUCAAAGAAGCCAUGCCCCAGGCAAGCACUCAAAAAGCCUUGCCCCAGGCAAGCAGUCAAAAAUGCCUUGUCUCAAGCAAGUACCAAAGCUUUGCCCUGCGCAAGCACAAAAAGCCUUGAUCAUAUAGUCAAGUGUAAACCAUUAUAGUAUCGCCCAGGGACAUACAAAAAUCCCACAUCAUUUUGGAC
Molecule: long non-coding RNA, 264 nt
Filed under: Olea europaea (common olive)
Lineage: Eukaryota; Viridiplantae; Streptophyta; Magnoliopsida; Lamiales; Oleaceae
Description: long non-coding RNA (OEUR_LNC012709)
Source: RNAcentral